Molecule: ribosomal RNA, 301 nt
Filed under: uncultured bacterium
Lineage: Bacteria
Description: partial 16S ribosomal RNA
Rfam family: Bacterial small subunit ribosomal RNA
Source: RNAcentral
CAGCCGCCGCGGUAAUACGAAGGGGGCUAGCGUUGCUCGGAAUCACUGGGCGUAAAGGGUGCGUAGGCGGGUCUUUAAGUCAGGGGUGAGAUCCUGGAGCUCAACUCCAGAACUGCCUUUGAUACUGAAGAUCUUGAGUUCGGGAGAGGUGAGUGGAACUGCGAGUGUAGAGGUGAAAUUCGUAGAUAUUCGCAAGAACACCAGUGGCGAAGGCGGCUCACUGGCCCGAUACUGACGCUGAGGCACGAAAGCGUGGGGAGCAAACAGGAUUAGAUACCCCGGUAGUCCCUGUCUCUUAUAC